Long non-coding RNA from Perognathus longimembris pacificus (Pacific pocket mouse), 391 nucleotides. RefSeq lists it as uncharacterized. NCBI's taxonomy places the organism in Eukaryota, Metazoa, Chordata, Mammalia, Rodentia, Heteromyidae. The transcript is spliced from 3 exons. The record is from RefSeq and is a predicted model, not a curated record.
GCUAGAAAGCCACUCAGGAACUGGAGACCAGUGAGAGGGACAUACACAACCAACAGUCAAAAUCACAUCUCCAAAGAAGAACGUCAGAGCAAAAUCGUUAAAUAAUUAAAAGUUAUUAACCAAAACAACACAAUCUCAGUUUUGUUUAAAAACCACAGGAUGCCAAGAUGAGAAGGAAAUAAAAGUCUUUACAGUCACUCUCAGGGGUAGAAUUAGAAUGCCUUUUUAUUUUCUUUGUUGUAUUUCUACGGUUUUCGAGUUCUCUAAAGCUGUUUAUGCUUGGUUCAGUUAUAACAUGCUAGACUGGGGCACAGGGGGUUCGUCUGCCCAGCCCUCAGUCUGGCUUUUGCCAUUUACAAAUGACCAGGGCAGGGCCGUGAGUUAGAAGAAG